Mauremys mutica (yellowpond turtle) is the source of this 330-nucleotide long non-coding RNA. RefSeq lists it as uncharacterized. The record is from RefSeq and is a predicted model, not a curated record. Lineage: Eukaryota; Metazoa; Chordata; Testudines; Geoemydidae. The transcript is spliced from 3 exons.
GUUAACACCAUGUAGGGGAGCAGGUGCCUUAAAGUCUGGCUUCGCCCCCAAAAGAGAAAAGAAAAUACGGUGCCAGAUGCAUGUUCACGAAAGAGUGCUCUCACCUGCUGUCUCCAAGUAAAGCCAGUGGUUAACCUUCUUGCAUCUUUGCAAGGCGGGAGACAUGACGCUAAGAGCACACCCAGUGCCAGAAGAAUUCCCUCAGGAGUACAUCUGAUAGGAACUUCCACAAAACUAACUGAGGGAAAGUCAGCCAUGGCUGGGAAAAAGGAAGACUGGUGACAGAAACCAUCUUGAACAAAGCAUGUAACUUGCUGGAGUACGUUUUAG